This 444-nucleotide ribosomal RNA is filed under the name uncultured bacterium. Its description in RNAcentral is "bacterial SSU rRNA". It matches the Rfam family "Bacterial small subunit ribosomal RNA", at positions 331 to 792 of the family's 1533-position model. The record is from RNAcentral.
CCAGACUCCUACGGGAGGCAGCAGUGGGGAAUAUUGCACAAUGGGGGAAACCCUGAUGCAGCGACGCCGCGUGAGUGAAGAAGUAUCUCGGUACGUAAAGCUCUAUCAGCAGGGAAGAUAAUGACGGUACCUGACUAAGAAGCCCCGGCUAACUACGUGCCAGCAGCCGCGGUAAUACGUAGGGGGCAAGCGUUAUCCGGAUUUACUGGGUGUAAAGGGUGCGUAGGUGGCAGGGCAAGUCAGAUGUGAAAGCCCGGGGCCCAACCCCGGUACUGCAUUUGAAACUGUCCGGCUGGAGUGCAGGAGAGGUAAGCGGAAUUCCUAGUGUAGCGGUGAAAUGCGUAGAUAUUAGGAGGAACACCAGUGGCGAAGGCGGCUUACUGGACUGUAACUGACACUGAGGCACGAAAGCGUGGGGAGCAAACAGGAUUAGAUACCCCUGUA